This 1739-nucleotide long non-coding RNA is filed under the name Macaca mulatta (Rhesus monkey). RNAcentral's name for it is "lncRNA (ENSMMUG00000049911.1)". The record is from RNAcentral. Lineage: Eukaryota; Metazoa; Chordata; Mammalia; Primates; Cercopithecidae.
AUUUUAUUGGCUUCAUUCACAACUUUUAAUUUUUCUGCCUUCACAUUAUUUAAAUGGGCAAAUAUACUCAUCAGUGACCUUAAUAAUAGUAUGCACUGUUUUUCCAUAGAGAAUAGAAGUGGAGAGUGGGGCAAAGUACUUCACCCUAGUGUGAUUCAGAAUCUUCUUGGGCUCAAGAGAAUGCCACUGCCUCUACCUCCAAUCCUCAACAUCUUGCCGGAGAUUUUGAUUCAUCUUUCUACAGCUUACAAUAGAUCAAGCUAUAAAAUGUCAUGAGAAGCAUGGAACCCGAAUAAGCCAAUGGGCCUAAUGUGAGUACCACAUGUGAGGACAACAUAUGACAGACAUAUCAAGGACUUGUGCUUCUUUCUUCUUCAUAUUCUAGGGGCUAUACUGACUGACUCUGAGAUAGCUUGAUGUAGAAUAUAAUUAUUAAUAAAUAGUUCAAGCCUUUGAAGUGCCACAUAAAAUUCCAGAGGAAUGUAUCUCCAGGAGUCUCAAUUUCCCAAUUUAGUAUAUAAUUAAUUUAAGCUUCAUAGAGGAGAAGUGAUGUGGUCACUUUUAAUAUAAGGCAUUCGUUGCUGGGGUUCUCAUUUCUCUCAUUGCCUGUCUCCUAUAAUAUUUAGCUUCCUUUAAAACAUUAAUGCUCUAUGAAUGACUUAACAUAAAUAUUUGAAGAAAGGAUACUACUAUAUGGAAAGAAUUAUAACAAUCCUGACUUUAACUCUUCUACUUUCUUUCUGUGGAUGGCUUGUUUUGCUUUCUCAAGAACCCUCUUCUCAUGAGGAUUUAGCCUCAACGGUCACUAUGUUGUCUUACUAAGACUACUUUUCCCAUCCUGGAGCUUCGGACCUACAGGCUUUUGGUAUCCUCUAAAGACAUUUUACAUGUGUGGUAAACCCAGAUUCAGGUUCUGAUCAUUGUCUGAAACCUCUCAUUUAUGACACUGAGUUCGUUGUUAAUUAUAUGUAUUUGGGGUAGAGUGUCAUCUAGCUGAUUGCUUGCUGCUUUCUCUAUGAGCUGCUGAACACAAGUUUCAUUUCAUGUUUUUAGUAGCUGUAACCAGGAAAAUGGAUUACUGAAAAGAUAACAAUCUAAUGUAGCUCUAUGUAGGAAAUUGUAUAUGGUCCAUUUUUCAAACCACAAGAGAAAAACAGAAUAAGUACCCUUUGCAGGUACUUAUAUUUAGACUUACCGUUUUAGAAGUGGUUUUAAGAGGAACCCAUCCUCUGCCUGCAGGGAUGAAACCUAUCGAAAUCCAUCUACCACACUAUUCAUGUUUAAGGGUUCAAGUGCUCAAUAGCCACAUGUGGGUAGUGCCUACUGUAUUGGAUGUUUCCAUCACCACAGAAAAAUCUAGCAGAUUCUAGGAGAUUCAUGGCUUAUGUUUUUCUGUAAAUAAUUUGAAAAGCAAGUGAAAAUUACUACUGAUGUGGGGGUUGCUAAUGGGCUAGCCUCUGGAGGAGGGAGUCAGCAAGGCUGGUGACAAAAGGAGGUGGAGGCAGUACAUGAGCCCAAGAAAGUGGGCAAUGAAAGUAGUGCUCACUAGGCGAAUGUAGAUACGUCGGAUAUUCUAGAGAGGCAGAAUGAUAGACCUGAGCUGAAGAAUAAAUUAUAGAAGAAACCAAGAUAUUGUCCAAUUGCAAGUUGGAUUAGUGAUAGCUUUUCACAAUUCCUUCAAUAAUCUUUAUAGUGGGUUAAAUAACUUUAUAUAUUAUAUACAUAUACGUAUUUAUAAU